GAUGAACGCUGGCUGCGUGCCUAAUACAUGCAAGUCGAGCGAACGGACGAGAAGCUUGCUUUUCUGAUGUUAGCGGCGGACGGGUGAGUAACACGUGGAUAACCUACCUAUAAGACUGGGAUAACUUCGGGAAACCGGAGCUAAUACCGGAUAAUAUUUUGAACCGCAUGGUUCAAAAGUGAAAGACGGUCUUGCUGUCACUUAUAGAUGGAUCCGCGCUGCAUUAGCUAGUUGGUAAGGUAACGGCUUACCAAGGCAACGAUGCAUAGCCGACCUGAGAGGGUGAUCGGCCACACUGGAACUGAGACACGGUCCAGACUCCUACGGGAGGCAGCAGUAGGGAAUCUUCCGCAAUGGGCGAAAGCCUGACGGAGCAACGCCGCGUGAGUGAUGAAGGUCUUCGGAUCGUAAAACUCUGUUAUUAGGGAAGAACAUAUGUGUAAGUAACUGUGCACAUCUUGACGGUACCUAAUCAGAAAGCCACGGCUAACUACGUGCCAGCAGCCGCGGUAAUACGUAGGUGGCAAGCGUUAUCCGGAAUUAUUGGGCGUAAAGCGCGCGUAGGCGGUUUUUUAAGUCUGAUGUGAAAGCCCACGGCUCAACCGUGGAGGGUCAUUGGAAACUGGAAAACUUGAGUGCAGAAGAGGAAAGUGGAAUUCCAUGUGUAGCGGUGAAAUGCGCAGAGAUGUGGAGGAACACCAGUGGCGAAGGCGACUUUCUGGUCUGUAACUGACGCUGAUGUGCGAAAGCGUGGGGAUCAAACAGGAUUAGAUACCCUGGUAGUCCACGCCGUAAACGAUGAGUGCUAAGUGUUAGGGGGUUUCCGCCCCUUAGUGCUGCAGCUAACGCAUUAAGCACUCCGCCUGGGGAGUACGACCGCAAGGUUGAAACUCAAAGGAAUUGACGGGGGCCCGCACAAGCGGUGGAGCAUGUGGUUUAAUUCGAAGCAACGCGAAGAACCUUACCAAAUCUUGGCAUCCUUUGACAACUCUAGAGAUAGAGCCUUCCCCUUCGGGGGACAAAGUGACAGGUGGUGCAUGGUUGUCGUCAGCUCGUGUCGUGAGAUGUUGGGUUAAGUCCCGCAACGAGCGCAACCCUUAAGCUUAGUUGCCAUCAUUAAGUUGGGCACUCUAAGUUGACUGCCGGUGACAAACCGGAGGAAGGUGGGGAUGACGUCAAAUCAUCAUGCCCCUUAUGAUUUGGGCUACACACGUGCUACAAUGGACAAUACAAAGGGCAGCGAAACCGCGAGGUCAAGCAAAUCCCAUAAAGUUGUUCUCAGUUCGGAUUGUAGUCUGCAACUCGACUACAUGAAGCUGGAAUCGCUAGUAAUCGUAGAUCAGCAUGCUACGGUGAAUACGUUCCCGGGUCU
This 1372-nucleotide ribosomal RNA is filed under the name uncultured bacterium. RNAcentral's name for it is "bacterial SSU rRNA". It matches the Rfam family "Bacterial small subunit ribosomal RNA", at positions 28 to 1381 of the family's 1533-position model. The record is from RNAcentral.